Molecule: non-coding RNA, 109 nt
Organism: Acanthosepion pharaonis
Lineage: Eukaryota; Metazoa; Mollusca; Cephalopoda; Sepiida; Sepiidae
Source: the annotation of a GenBank genome assembly
AGCCAUAUCAUGUUGAAACACUAGUUCCCAUAUGUCCACCAAAGUUAAGCAUCAUCAAGCCUAUCAGUACCUAGAUGGGUGACCACUUGGGAAUAACGGGUGCUGUAAG